UUGCAGGCAACGGAGGUAAAGUGACCUGCCCACGGUCACACAGCUGAAGUGGAAACCGAUCCACGCUUUUCUUCACCCUAUCCCCUCGUAAUGACUUCAAGGGACUAUCAAGGUUGCCAAAGGUCAACAUUUACAAGACUUAAAGGAUGGCCAGCUGGGGUACAGGGAGGUGUGUGUUGUAUCUGUCAUCCACGAAGAUCUAUGAGGAUCUACUUGAUGAACUAUGGAGUGAAAGCUUGAGAAAAGCUGAACAGAUUGUUUCCUGUUGUGGUUGGAAAGCUUCUGUCAUCAAGAGAAAAGAGAUGGAGAGAUCUUUUUCUGAAUAAGUUGUUUUCAACUUCAUCUUUUUAAGAGAAUUUUGAGAAGAAAUUUUACUUGAGGACUGUGGAGAAAACUAAAUAGCACAAGACUG
Long non-coding RNA from Dromiciops gliroides (monito del monte), 412 nucleotides. RefSeq lists it as uncharacterized. The transcript has 3 exons. The record is from RefSeq and is a predicted model, not a curated record. NCBI's taxonomy places the organism in Eukaryota, Metazoa, Chordata, Mammalia, Microbiotheria, Microbiotheriidae.